CAUGUUAGGUAAAAUUAAUCAAAAUUGGAUGAAUAGUUCUCCCAAAAAUGAAAUAGGUUUAUCAUAUGUUAAUUCCUUGAAAUGUCCAAGAUCAAUUUCCCCCAAACAGCAAUUGAUGAGGCAACAACUACUUUCAUUCUUGCAUAAUAACAAUAGAGAAUCUUCAAGACCAAUCAUUACUGCCUGUGCAGAGAUUACUGAUAUUCUAAAGGCUAUGAGAAACUCCAUUCAACAUCAUCCUCAACUAUACUUAGGGAAGGCAUUUUGAGGAUAUCCUUGAUUAGUUUUUGCUUAUUGAUUAGGCUCUGUGUUUUCAAUUUAUUGAUUUGUGAUAUUAUGUUUUGAUAUUAGUUUGUUACUUACAUGUCAGAAAUAAGUUUCAACCCUUUAUAUGUAAAAAUGUGUUUGC
Molecule: long non-coding RNA, 409 nt
Filed under: Androctonus crassicauda
Lineage: Eukaryota; Metazoa; Arthropoda; Arachnida; Scorpiones; Buthidae
Source: RNAcentral